This 429-nucleotide ribosomal RNA is filed under the name Actinomycetes bacterium. RNAcentral describes it as "Actinobacteria bacterium partial 16S ribosomal RNA". It matches the Rfam family "Bacterial small subunit ribosomal RNA", at positions 355 to 776 of the family's 1533-position model. Lineage: Bacteria; Bacillati; Actinomycetota; Actinomycetes. The record is from RNAcentral.
UAGGGAAUCUUCCGCAAUGGGCGAAAGCCUGACGGAGCAACGCCGCGUGAGUGAUGAAGGUCUUCGGAUCGUAAAACUCUGUUAUUAGGGAAGAACAAAUGUGUAAGUAACUAUGCACGUCUUGACGGUACCUAAUCAGAAAGCCACGGCUAACUACGUGCCAGCAGCCGCGGUAAUACGUAGGUGGCAAGCGUUAUCCGGAAUUAUUGGGCGUAAAGCGCGCGUAGGCGGUUUUUUAAGUCUGACGUGAAAGCCCACGGCUCAACCGUGGAGGGUCAUUGGAAACUGGAAAACUUGAGUGCAGAAGAGGAAAGUGGAAUUCCAUGUGUAGCGGUGAAAUGCGCAGAGAUAUGGAGGAACACCAGUGGCGAAGGCGACUUUCUGGUCUGUAACUGACGCUGAUGUGCGAAGGCGUGGGGAUCAAACAGG